CAGCCGCCGCGGUAACACGAAGGGUGCAAGCGUUAAUCGGAAUUACUGGGCGUAAAGCGUGCGUAGGCGGUUUGUUAAGUCUGCUGUGAAAUCCCCGGGCUCAACCUGGGAAUGGCAGUGGAUACUGGCAAGCUAGAGUGUGUCAGAGGAUGGUGGAAUUCCCGGUGUAGCGGUGAAAUGCGUAGAGAUCGGGAGGAACAUCAGUGGCGAAGGCGGCCAUCUGGGACAACACUGACGCUGAGGCACGAAAGCGUGGGGAGCAAACAGGAUUAGAUACCCGUGUAGUCCCUGUCUCUUAUAC
This 301-nucleotide ribosomal RNA is filed under the name uncultured bacterium. RNAcentral's name for it is "partial 16S ribosomal RNA". It matches the Rfam family "Bacterial small subunit ribosomal RNA", at positions 509 to 807 of the family's 1533-position model. The record is from RNAcentral.